UUUAAAUUUCCACACAGGGAGGAGAUUCGCUUUCAUGUUCUCUUUUCGGCGGACGACGGCAACUUCCACUAGAAUGAAGACGACGGAUUCAAAAGAAUGCUCUUGCCUCUCGGAGAAAUCCAGGACUCUCUCAUAUAGUUGGCAAUCUGAAUUGUAAUUGCAUGUCUCUUAUCUGAUUGAAAAGAAUAUCCCUUCGAUCAGACACCUCCGAUCUCUCCUCCUUCAACUCUGAUUCACCAGCUCCGGUCUCUUGGAUUUCUCACCUCGGUCUCAAUACUCGGGAAUGAAGAGCCGCCUACAAAUCCGCAUCAGAUCUUCCCAAAUCCUUGUCUGAAUGAUUGGAUGCCCCUUCUUCAUUUCGUCGUCGGAGCUCGUGCAAAUGAAGUUAAGUGGUUAUCACCAGCGACCAGUUCUGGCAUCAUCAACGGUGGUAAGUUAGCCAUAUUUGGUUUUUUCCCAUGCUUGUUCCGCUGUUUUGUUUUUGUUGUUGAUACAGGGUCUGAUCUGGAGAUUUUCACAUCAACUUUUCAUCCGACGGAAUAGCGUCGUCAACCAAAACCCCAUCGAGGAGUCAUUCUCCUAGCCCAGACCUGCUCCUGCAAAAUACCCACUAAUUGGGGCUGACGAUCGUCAUGAUUGUACUAGACGGCUAGGGUGAGGCGAAUCUGGAUCCCUGCAUAUGCAUUCACGUUGUUGAGACUCCAACCAUGGAUUCCUUCAAGCAGCGUUUGCGAUUUCAUUACAUGUUAUUGUAUGCUGAAGGGUUUAUUCUGAUUGGCCCCUCCGGUAUCCGCGAUGUUACCGUUUUUACAGGGCAGCGUUUUGCAACGUUUCUAGCACCGGGCUAUGCUCGUGCUGGCCGGCCGUUUGGCUCUGAGUUCAUCCCCAUCUAGCCUUGCAGGUGGACGGUUCGGUCGUCAUGACUUUUCGUAACCGCUCCCCCUUCGUAUUCCACCAUUGAUAGUGAUAGUAUUUGAUCCUUCCGCCUUCCAUUAUUGAAGCUGUUGAAUUCUGCUUCUCAUUUAAAUUCACAUGGACUGGUUGAUGCGUGUCUUUUGUUGCUUACACGCCUCACUAAACUAAUCUCUUAUCAAUUUAUGAUGAUUACCAUACUUGCUGUCCAAUUCAAAUGUUAAGAGCCAUCACAAUGGAAGGUAGUUUAACUCGAUAAUCAUGUGUCUUUCUAUCCAGGCGCCAAGCAAAGUUCUAGCUUCGCCAAAAUAUUUAAUGCACAAUUCCAUAGAAGUUAAA
Molecule: long non-coding RNA, 1251 nt
Filed under: Linum usitatissimum (flax)
Lineage: Eukaryota; Viridiplantae; Streptophyta; Magnoliopsida; Malpighiales; Linaceae
Description: long non-coding RNA (LUSI_LNC004532)
Source: RNAcentral